This 60-nucleotide transfer RNA is filed under the name Watersipora subtorquata. Its description in RNAcentral is "tRNA-Ile". Lineage: Eukaryota; Metazoa; Bryozoa; Gymnolaemata; Cheilostomatida; Watersiporidae. The record is from RNAcentral.
AGUACUAAAUCACCUAGUGAGUUAAGUUGAUACCUUAAAAGAGAAUUAUUUCUAGUACUU